RNAcentral lists this ribosomal RNA (372 nucleotides) under Ramaria formosa. RNAcentral's name for it is "partial large subunit ribosomal RNA". Lineage: Eukaryota; Fungi; Basidiomycota; Agaricomycetes; Gomphales; Gomphaceae. The record is from RNAcentral.
CGKUCUAUGGSCGUCCGAGUUGUAGUCUGGAGAAGCGUUUUCUGUGUCGGACCGUGUACAAGUCCCUUGGAACAGGGCGUCACAGAGGGUGAGAAUCCCGUCUUUGACACGGACUGCCGGUGCUUUGUGAUGCGCUCUCGAAGAGUCGAGUUGUUUGGGAAUGCAGCUCAAAUCGGGUGGUAAAUUCCAUCUAAAGCUAAAUAUGGGCGAAAGACCGAUAGCGAACAAGUACCGUGAGGGAAAGAUGAAAAGCACUUUGGAAAGAGAGUUAAACAGUACGUGAAAUUGUUGAAAGGGAAACGCUUGAAGUCAGUCGCGUCUCUCGGGACUCAGCCGAGCCUUUUUGGCUCGGCGUACUUCUCGGGGCGACGG